RNAcentral lists this non-coding RNA (280 nucleotides) under Nematostella vectensis (starlet sea anemone). RNAcentral's name for it is "Eukaryotic large subunit ribosomal RNA". It matches the Rfam family "Eukaryotic large subunit ribosomal RNA", at positions 2541 to 2802 of the family's 3401-position model. The record is from Rfam by way of RNAcentral. Lineage: Eukaryota; Metazoa; Cnidaria; Anthozoa; Actiniaria; Edwardsiidae.
CGAACCGCAAGGUUCACGUUCUGGAUUUAAGGUCUCUCUUUUGCAGACCGAUCCGUGUCGAAGACACUGCCAGGUUGGGAGUUUGGCUGGGGCGGCACAUCUGUCAAACGAUAACGCAGGUGUCCUAAGGUGAGCUCAAUGAGAACAGAAAUCUCAUGUAGAACAAAAGGGUAAAAGCUCACUUGAUUUUGAUUUUCAGUAUGAAUACAAACUGUGAAAGCAUGGCCUACCGAUCCUUUAGUCUUUAGGGGAUUAUUAAAGUUUUGAUGGUAAAUGAGAG